GAAUUUUGGACAAUGGGCGAAAGCCUGAUCUAGCAAUGCCGCGUGCAGGGUGAAGGCCUCCGGGUUGUAAACUGCUUUUGUACGGAACGAAAAGCUUUGGGUUCAUACCCUGGAGUCAUGACGGUACCGUAAGAAUAUGCACCGGCUAUCUCUGUGCCAGCAGCCGCGGUAAUAUGUAGGGUGCAAGCGUUUUUCGGAAUUACUGGGCGUAAAGCGUGCGCAGGCGGUUUUGUAAGACAGAGGUGAAAUCCCCGGGCUCAACCUGGGAACUGCCUUUGUGACUGCAAGGCUAGAGUACGGCAGAGGGGGGUGGAAUUCCGCGUGUAGCAGUGAAAUGCGUAGAUAUGCGGAGGAACACCGAUGGCGAAGGCAACCCCCUGGGCCUGUACUGACGCUCAUGCACGAAAGCGUGGGGAGCAAACA
RNAcentral lists this ribosomal RNA (423 nucleotides) under uncultured bacterium. Its description in RNAcentral is "partial 16S ribosomal RNA". It matches the Rfam family "Bacterial small subunit ribosomal RNA", at positions 359 to 774 of the family's 1533-position model. The record is from RNAcentral.